AGCACUAGUUAAAUUUGAACUUUAGAUAAAGAAGGAAAAAUUUCUUAGUGUGAGUAUAUCCUAUGCAAUACUUGGAAUAUACUUAUGCUAAAAAAGUAUUCCUUGGUUAUCUGAAAUUCAAAUUUCACUGGAAAUUCUGUA
This is a microRNA precursor of Chlorocebus sabaeus (green monkey), 141 nucleotides long. The record is from Ensembl. Lineage: Eukaryota; Metazoa; Chordata; Mammalia; Primates; Cercopithecidae.